RNAcentral lists this long non-coding RNA (10646 nucleotides) under Brassica rapa (field mustard). Its description in RNAcentral is "long non-coding RNA (BRAP_LNC005366)". Lineage: Eukaryota; Viridiplantae; Streptophyta; Magnoliopsida; Brassicales; Brassicaceae. The record is from RNAcentral.
GAGACUUCAUUUUACUCUUUCGAUAGUGUCAUUGUUGGGUUUUCAUAUUAAGAAUUGAUUUGGGCUUAACAGAAUAGGUCGUGGGUUUCAUAUAUUUGGGCUAUAGAGCAUUGGUUAAGUAGGUGUAGCGGUUCAGACAACUAUCUCCUACGCUUUCUCAAAGAAACACCAGGGCUCCUCUUAACCAACUGACUAUGGAGGAUCCGGGUGGGUUACGAGAGUUAGAAAACCGGGCAAUCUAUGGUGGAAACCGCCGUCGGUGUAAGUUCGCGUAGCUACUUACUUGCCUUAGAAAACCUGGAACGUUACGGAUCUCAUAUGCAUUCAAUCACUCUCAUUAACUUCCCAAUUAACUCCAUCUCCCCCCACUCCUUCCAUGUUUUCACAUUCAUUGCAUCCUCUUUUCUUCCACUCGGUGAAUCUGCAAUUAUAAAUAGGUUAGAUUGUAUCCGUAAAUGCAAUUUCAUUCUUCACAAUCAUAAUAACACAAAAACUUUCCACACGUUUGAAUCCGAUGUUGAGCGAUUUGGAACUUAGAGAUCAAUUGAGGAAACAUCAUCAUCUCUGCAAGUCAUGCCAUCUUAGGAGACCAGUCUUGGGGUAGAUUCUUUUCAGAAAAAAACGUUUUUAAAGCUUAUAAGAUGAUAUAUUCCUCUGUACAAAGACUUUGAUGGUGAAGUUUAAAGUGAAAAGAAAAGAAGGAUAAGAAGAAAAGUGGUUGUUACAGAGAGAGAAAUACAUAAUCUUCAUUAUUUUUUUAGUGAGAGAUGUGGAAAUUUAAAAUUUUAGUUCUACCAUUAAAGAGGAAAGAGGAAUCGGAAGUUCUAAGAGAUACAGAAAAUCGAGAGCUAUCAACAGAAGCCUAUGAAGAUGGAAAAGUAUUUAUUAAAUGGCAACAUAAAUGUAAGUUACAAGCUGGCACGGGCUUGCCAUGUUAUUUAUUUGUUUUUUUGUUCAAAGGUUUGCCAUGUUAUAAUUCUCUCAAGUAUUGUCUCUGUUACAAAUAAAAGUUAAUUAAUGCAAGGUAUUUGUCAAAACAGGAAAAAUGUUUAAUACGUAAGAUUAGGGAUAGGGAAUAUGAUCAAAUCUUUUGAUCAAAACAAAAAAAAGGAAUAUGAUCAAAUCUUUCACAAGAUCAUAUUACCCUUAUUAAUCCCAUCAUAAACUGAUUUAUAUUACUUAGCUUGGUUCAAAGUUAAGAAAAAACAAGUCUAAUAUAAUUUUUGAUUUGGUGUUGGUUUCAGGUUUUCAAUAUAAAUUAUAAAUACAAAUUUUCAUUUAAAAUAUUUUUUCUUUUUAGAAAAAAUAUAUAAUAACAAAUUAAACAUACUGAAAUAUUUUUAAAUCCAAAAUAAAAUCACAUCAUAUAGACAUUAAUAAUGUGAUUUCAACUACCAAAUAAACGAAAAUUAGAUUCACAUGAGAAUGAAAUUGUAUUUUUAUUAAAUAAAAAACUAUAACAAAAAUGAUAAAAUUAAAUUAUACAAUGACCUUAAACAUAUUUGAAAAAAAAAUUAAAAAAAAAACAAGACGCAUUAAAAAUAAACAUAUCCGUUAUUAAUGUUUGAGAAUAAUAAUUUGAGAAGAUAUUGCCUUCGAGUCUGUCAACCAACACAAGAUUAAUACUUUAAAUUGUUAAGUAAAUAUGAAGGCUACUGAAUUAUUACAUAUUCUGAAUUAUUUUUGUUAAUUUUGUAUUUUUGUUUUUGAACAAAUUAAUUUUGUAUUCUCUAACAUAAAGAAUAAUGAAGGCUACUGUCAUUUUAAUUCAAAACCAGAAAUAUUUAUUAAAAAUAACAAUAUGAUCUCAAUUUUUUCAGUAUUUAUAAUAUUGUUUUCAAUCUGAUUUAAAAUAUUUAAUAAAAUUAAUAUAAAUUUAUAUAAAAUAAUUUUUAUUAUAACUUCCCGCCCGUAGGGCGGGCCGGCCCUAGUGUUAUUAUAUAUAAGAUAACAAACCAAACACUUGUUGAUUCAAUAUCAAAUCAAAUCAUUCCAUUUUUUCUUUCAGGCUACAUUCAAGUCUCCCUUGGGAAAAGAUCCAGUUGUUGUCGAUCUUAUGGGACUUGGAAAAGGUACAGCUUGGGUCAAUGGAAACAACAUUGGGCGUUAUUGGCCGGCAUUCAUUUCAAGCGAAAAUGGUUGUGAUGCAAAAUGUAAUUAUAGAGGUGCUUAUCAUGCUGAAAAAUGUCUGACCAAUUGUGGAGAACCCACACAAAGAUGGUACAUUUUCCACAUCUUAUUAGGUUCUAGAAUAAAAUAUGUUAAUGUUUAACCUGAGAAAUCUUUACAUGGAUUUUGUUGCUUUGUUAUUUUCUUGAACAGGUACCAUGUUCCUCGUUCUUUCUUGAAUGCAGAAGGAGAUAACACACUAGUUUUGUUUGAAGAGAUGGGAGGAAACCCAUCGCUUGUCAGUUUCCAAACUACUAGAGUAGGAAGUGUUUGUGCUAACGUCUACGAAAAAACAAUUAUUGAGCUUUCAUGCGACAGAAAACCCAUUUCUGCCAUCAAAUUUGCAUCCUUUGGUAACCCAGAUGGCAAUUGUGGAUCUUUUGAAAAAGGAACUUGUGAAUCAAGUAAAAACACGGCCGAUAUUCUCACACAAGAAUGUGUUGGAAAAGAGAAGUGUUCCAUUGAUGUCUCAACAGAAAAGUUUGGUGCACCAGAUUGCAGUGGUGCUCUUAGAAGGCUUGCAGUCGAAGCUAUAUGUUAAAUGGUUUUCUAGAUUUAUGGUGUUUUCUUUAUCAUAUUUCCAAAUUAUGCUAUAUUUUUUUUCAAAGAUUUAAUUCUUUUAAUAUUUGUUGGUGGUUGUUUUAUUCAAUAAAAGAACAUAUUCUUAUAUACAUUUUACACGGUCAUCUUCUUUUCCCAAAACAUUCAUGGUCAUUUCUUCUCCGCCAUCAUCACUCUCUCUGAACAAUUGAAUAAUUGUUCCCUUCGAUAUUUAUUAUUUUUCUUUUUAAUAUAUAACAAUGACUAAACGGCGUUAGCUCAGCUAAUUAUAUCAUUAAAUAUUCUAGAUAUGGAGGAUGGUAUCCUCGAAGUUGUUUUCUUAUUGGCAAGUUUCUCCAACAAAGGUGAUUCUGGUGAGAAUGCAUAUCUAGGUGCAGAGAAGAGAAAAUCGACGAUGACGAUAAAAACAAAUCAAAUUUGUGGUUAUGCUUUGAUUAGAGAAACCAGUUAAGAAACUCGAGACGAUUAAAUUAGCCUUUGUUGUUUGGGAGUUUUUAAAAAUAAGGAUUUGAUGGAUACUGGUUCUUGUUUGUAUAAGAAAAUUUAAAAGUUUUAUUUAAUGCAAAAAUAAAAAAAAUGAAAAUAUGUCACACUAAUUAUUCAAACUCUUGUAAGGUAGCACAACAAAAUUAGAUAUUUACCAACUGAGUUUGUGCGACUAACUGAAUAUUAAGGCAAAGCGAAUAUUUAUAUAUGUAAAAGACAACUCAUAAAUUGUUUUUAGUGGUUGGCUAAAAAUAUGUUAUCAAAGUAGUUUUAAGCGUUAUGAUAAUAUUUAUUUAUUGCUCAUACACAAAUUUGAUUAACACAAGCAAGAUAUUUAUUAUAUAAAAAAAGAGGUAGUCAAGUCAAUCAGUUCUAUCUCCUUUGUAAAAAGUGGAAAGUAUUAAAAAAAUUCAGACUUAAACUGGUUUAAACAUUAGAUGAAAAUAUAUAAAUAAAUAUGAUGCUUUUAAGAUUUACAUUAUUUACAAAUCAAAUAAUUUUUCCUAUUGAGACAUGUUUAAGAUAUGAUGAAUUGCGAACAAAUUUUAACAACCAAGCUACACUGUUUCAGAUUUUUGGAAAAAAUUAUGUUAUUAUCCAAAUCGGAUUUAAGUUGAAACCGAGGAUAAAUAAAUUUUUAUUGGUUAAACAUUUCACAAAAAUAGUUAAAAUUUUUAACAAAAUUUAUACUUAAAUAAUAUGGCAGUUAGAAUUUUGUUUUUGUUUUCUGGAAUAUCUAUAAUUAUCCAUAUUAUCUUUAGGUAACGAUUUUAUACCCCUAUAAAAGCUUUGUUUCCUUUCAUAUUUCUUCAUUCAAAAACCAUUCUUCUAAGUAAAUAUGGUUUCUCUAAGAUUUCUUUUAUGUUUUCUUUUUGUAAGUAGUGUCUAUGCCACAAUUGUUUCUCAUGAUGGCCGAGCCAUUACCAUUGAUGGUCACCGCCGAGUUCUCUUUUCUGGUUCUAUCCAUUAUCCUAGAAGCACUCCUGAGGUAUUUAAUCUACCUUACAUCAAACAAUAUGUGUGGUCCUAGUAUUUUAUGUUUGCUACUAAUUAUAAUCGUUUUUUGUUAAUAUGUUUAGAUGUGGCCGGAUCUUAUAAAAAAGUAAAGAAGGAGGUCUUGAUGCGAUCGAAACAUAUGUCUUCUGGAAUGCGCAUGAGCCUACUCGCCGUCAAUAUGAUUUUUCUGGAAAAUUAGAUCUUAUUCGAUUUCUGAAAACCAUUCAAAAUGAAGGAUUGUAUGCUGUUCUUCGCAUAGGACCAUAUGCAUGUGCUGAGUGGAAUUACGGGUAAUAUACUUAGAAUGGAUUUAGGUAGUCUCUUAAAGUGCAAUAUAUACCAGUUUAAUGCAUUUUGAUAAUAAGAUAGCUUCUUGUAUGGUCAUAGUGCGGUUUUCCAUAUAAUGUUUUGAUCAAUAAAUGGUCCAAUGAAUUGAUUUUGUUAAUCAUUAUACCAACACUUGUGUAUCAUAAAUGUCAGUACUAGUCUUUUAGUUAUAGUAUAUAUUUUUAAGAAAUUAUUAUAAUGAGUUGGCUUCUUGUAUGAUGAUAUUACUGUUUAUCAUAUAAUAUUUUUGACCUCGAUUUUUUUUAUUAUUGUAAACAGAGGAUUCCCAGUGUGGUUGCACAACAUGCCUGGAAUGGUGUUCAGAACUACUAAUAAAGCAUAUAUGGUAGUCUUACCUGAUGAUCAAUAUUUUUUUUUAUCAUAUAUGUAGUGUUAUUUUCAAUUAAAUUUUAUAUGAAUGAUUUAUGUAUAGGAUGAGAUGCAAAACUUCACAACUAUGAUAGUAGACAUGGUCAAGAAAGAAAAAUUAUUUGCAUCACAAGGAGGCCCAAUUAUUCUUGCUCAAGUAAAUCGAUUUAAUCUUUUAAAUACAUUAUGUGGUGUUUCUUAAUGUUAUAUACAAUUCUUAACAAUUUUUUUUUUUGUUUUAUUAAUCUUGCAGAUAGAAAAUGAGUAUGGAAAUGUAAUGGGACCCUAUGGAGAAUCGGGUAAAGCAUACAUUAAGUGGUGUGCAAACAUGGCUCAGUCUCUUGAUGUUGGUGAUCCAUGGAUAAUGUGUCAACAAAAUGAUGCUCCUCAGCCUAUGGUAAUAAGCUCAGUCUAGUUAUAAUGAGUAUUUAUUUAAUAUAUUCAAAGGCUAAUUAUUUUAAAUUGUUUCUGCUUUUAUAGUUGAAUACAUGUAAUGGCUUUUACUGUGACAAUUUUGUACCAAACAAUCCCAACACUCCUAAGAUGUGGACUGAGAACUGGACCGGAUGGUAAGUUUUAUUUUCAGUAUGAUUAUAUUCUUAUUAUUUUGUAAAUAUUUUAUCAUAAUAUUUAUUUUGUCUUCUAUUUGUUUAGGUUUAAGCAAUGGGGUGGUAAAAAUCCUCAUAGAACAACCGAAGAUGUUGCAUUUUCUGUUGCAAGAUUCUUCCAAAGAGGAGGAACUUUUAAUAAUUAUUAUAUGGUAAAAAUAUAAUAAUGAAAUUUAACUUAUUUAUUAAAAUAAGCUCACACAAAAUCGACAUUAACUAGAAAGAGUAAUUGAACUGUUUUUAUCAUUGUAGUACCAUGGAGGCACGAACUUUGACAGAACCGCAGGUGGUCCAUACAUCACAACUUCAUAUGAUUAUGAUGCUCCCCUUGACGAAUAUGGUAAAUUUAAAGUAUAUUCAUAUACAAAAAUAUUUUAGAAGUUUAUAUUUUUACUUACAUGGGAAAUCUAUUAGGUAAUUUGAGUCAACCAAAAUACGGGCAUUUGAAACAACUUCAUGAUGUUCUUCACUCUAUAGAGAAAACUCUAACAUACGGAAACAUCUCCACCAUUGACUUUGGAAACUCUGCAUCGGUAAUAUUCUUGUUAUUUUUUAUCAGUAUAUUCUUGAAAUAAUUACUUAUCAUGAAAAUAUUACAUAGGCAACAAUUUAUAAAACCGAAGAAGGAUCAAGCUGCUUUUUUGGAAAUGGAAAUGAAAAUUCAGAUGCAACAAUUAGUUUCCAAGGAGAAUCUUACGUUGUCCCGGCUUGGUCUGUUACCAUUUUACCGGAUUGCAAAAAUGAGGCUUAUAACACCGCCAAGGUUUUUUAUUUAAAAUUUUCUUUUGUGGACUUUAAAUUUUCAUACUAACAACCAUUAUUCAUUCAAAGUUGUAACCAAAGUUCAUUUUUUGUUGGUUUUAUAUUUUCAGAUUACCACACAGACUUCAAUGAUGGUUAAGAAACCAAAUGAAGCUGAGGAUACCCCUUCAACUCUGAAAUGGUCAUGGACACCAGAAAACAUGGACAACUUCCUUUUGAAAGGAAAAGGAGAAUCUACACAUACACAACUAUUUGAUCAGAAAGUAGUCACCAAUGACCAAAGUGAUUAUCUAUGGUACAUGACUACCGUUAAGUUUAAAAAACGAGAUCCUUUUGUGGGUAAAACCAUGUCUCUUCGCAUCAACAGUACUGCUCAUGUCCUUCACGCUUUCGUCAAUGGAAAAAAUAUUGGUAAGUAACUCUUAUAUAUGUUUUACAAAUCUCAAUAACACCAACUUACCAAAAAGUCUUUGAUUUAUAUUUGUAGGUAAUCAACACGCUGAGAAUGGAAAAUUUAACUAUGUAUUUGAGAAAGAUGUGAAGUUUAAGUCUGGUCGUAAUGUCAUUGCUCUUCUUAGCAUAACUGUGGGACUUGCGGUAAGUUCUUAGAUAUUCUUUAUCUUGUAUUUAUUUUUAAAGUUAAAUCUCUUAUUUUUUUACAUUUUAACUGAAAAUAAAAAAUUUUGACAAUUUUUUUUUAUAGAACUAUGAUGCUUUCUUUGAAAGUAAGCCGGCUGGAAUCACUGGACCCAUUUUUAUUACUGGAAUAAAUGGUGAUGAAACUAUAGUUAAGGACUUGUCUGCUCAUAAAUGGAGCUACAAAACCGGUUUAAAUGGGUUUGACAACCAACUCUUUAGAACGGAAGCAAUGUCUAAAUGGUCAGUUGAAAAUGUACCGUUUAACCGAACCAUGACUUGGUAUAAGGUAAACAGAUGUUAUUAUAUAUAAGAUAACAAACCAAACACUUGUUGAUUCAAUAUCAAAUCAAAUCAUUCCAUUUUUUCUUUCAGGCUACAUUCAAGUCUCCCUUGGGAAAUGAUCCAGUUGUUGUCGAUCUUAUGGGACUUGGAAAAGGUACAGCUUGGGUCAAUGGAAACAACAUUGGGCGUUAUUGGCCGGCAUUCAUUUCAAGCGAAAAUGGUUGUGAUGCAAAAUGUAAUUAUAGAGGUGCUUAUCAUGCUGAAAAAUGUCUGACCAAUUGUGGAGAACCCACACAAAGAUGGUACAUUUUCCACAUCUUAUUAGGUUCUAGAAUAAAAUAUGUUAAUGUUUAACCUGAGAAAUCUUUACAUGGAUUUUGUUGCUUUGUUAUUUUCUUGAACAGGUACCAUGUUCCUCGUUCUUUCUUGAAUGCAGAAGGAUAUAACACACUAGUUUUGUUUGAAGAGAUGGGAGGAAACCCAUCGCUUGUCAGUUUCCAAACUACUAGAGUAGGAAGUGUUUGUGCUAACGUCUACGAAAAAACAAUUAUUGAGCUUUCAUGCGACAGAAAACCCAUUUCUGCCAUCAAAUUUGCAUCCUUUGGUAACCCAGAUGGCAAUUGUGGAUCUUUUGAAAAAGGAACUUGUGAAUCAAGUAAAAACACGGCCGAUAUUCUCACACAAGAAUGUGUUGGAAAAGAGAAGUGUUCCAUUGAUGUCUCAACAGAAAAGUUUGGUGCACCAGAUUGCAGUGGUGCUCCUAGAAGGCUUGCAGUCGAAGCUAUAUGUUAAAUGGUUUUCUAGAUUUAUGGUGUUUUCUUUAUCAUAUUUCCAAAUUAUGCUAUAUUUUUUUUCAAAGAUUUAAUUCUUUUAAUAUUUAUUGGUGGUUGUUUUAUUCAAUAAAAGAACAUAUUCUUAUAUACAUUUUACACGGUCAUCUUCUUUUCCCAAAACAUUCAUGGUCAUUUCUUCUCCGCCAUCAUCACUCUCUCUGAAAAAUUGAAUAAUUGUUCCCUUCGAUAUUUAUUAUUUUUUUUAAUAUAUAACAAUGACUAAACUGCGUUGGCUCAGUUGGUAAAUAACUAAUUUUAGAGUAAUAAAAUACACGAGUUCAAGUCUUAUUGAGACUUUUUUAUUUUUAUUUUUGUAUUAAAUAAAAUCUUGAGCUUAUAACCAAUCACACAAAAUGAUAGAGGAAAAACAUCACAUUUGAAAGCGUAACAGAGUGUUUUACUUUAAAGAAAUUGUAUAUAAAUACGUGAAGAAUAUAAGACUAUAUCUUAAAUAGUAUAUUAGACUCUCUAUAAAUAGUAUAGUUCGCACAAGUACGAUGUAUAAUUUGUAGUUUAUAGGUUUUAAUUGUUCACAGUAUUCAAUACUUUUUGGCCAUCUUUGAUUUUAAAUAAUAUAACCAAAAUAUGUUAUCAUUUGUAAAUGCUUAGUUUGAUAAUAAGUACAAACCAAUCGAUUCAUAACAAUGAUACAUUAACAAAACAUACCAAAUGUUUAUUUACUGUGCAGCCACAUUUCUAUUCUACUUCGUCAAAUAGAAUGGAAUACUACACAUAACACACUGGAACUGAAUGACAUGAUGUAAAGCCGAUGAAGUAAUUAAGGAGAAGAAUGAGGAGACGAAUGAGAAAAUAUGAUUUGAAGAAGAGCUGGUGCCGGAGUCGAUGAGGACGAAAAGAAACCACCACAAAAGGUGCAGAAGAAAAAGAGACAAGAAGAAAAAGAGACAGUGGGAUGAAGAGACAUGGGUGACGACGGCAGUGGAGAGAAGGUUGUGGCAACGAUGAAACAACCGGUGGUGAUGGUAGUCGCAUCAGGUGGAAUAAUAUAAACAUAAUAUAUAUUAUAUUGCAUUUCAUUUAUAUUCUUUAUGUAUACAAUAGUAUAGAACAUAAAAAAUGUUCGCACUAAGAUGUGGAGGCAGUGGAGAGAAGGUUGUGCAACGAUGAAACAACUGGUGAUGGUGAUAGUUGUUGUGCUGAUCAUAUGGAAUAAUAUAAACAUAAUAUAUAUUGCAUUGCAUUCAUUUCUAUUCUAUAUGUAUACAAUAGUACAGAACAUAUAAAAUAUAAAAUGUUCAUUUUCUCCGGUCAUUUUUACUAACUGUGGCGUGUAUGUAACAGCAGCAAAAAAAAAGGUGUUUUUCUCCAUGUCAAAUACAUAGGAUGUGGAGGAAGUGAGUCCUAGAAUGUGAAUAAAAAAAAGAGGAAGAAAGUGAGGGGUUUGUGCUUUCAAAUUUGCUAAACACUAGUAGCGUGAAUGUUAGGAAAUUGGCAACACAAUAUUCGUUUCAAAUCAACUCUGGUGCGUCUAAAGCGUACGUCCAAUGAAUAGAUAUAUCAAACUGUAUUCAUUUCUACAGUAUCACACCAACCUAAUUCAAAAUUGCGAUACCAAGCGAUGAGAAAGUAAGUUACACAACAAUAGUACAAGAAUUUAAACGUUUCUUUUCCUAUUUUGUUGUUAACUUAAUAUGGUUUUUUUAUCAGGGGGUAACAAUCUAAAGCAACUUCUUAUGGAACUGUAAAUGAUCAUGGUUUAAUUAUCAUGAAUCACGGAGAAUGGUUUGAGAUUAAUAGUUUCAAACUAAUGCACGCAUCUGGGAUUACACAAGGACGACUAGAAAAAGAUACCAUCUUCUCCUAGACAAAAAUACACUUGACUUACCAGAUUCCACCAACAGCCUGCUGCAACUAAGUUGACAUUAAGACUAAUUGUAUGGGAUACAUGAUAUUUUUCAUUUCAUUUGUGUUUUUAUUUUCUGAAUAAUUUGUUGAUGUUUUCUAUUUUAACGAUUCUGGCUUUUUUGUAACCUUCCAUCUGCCAGUUUAAUUGAUGAAUUGUCUACUUCAAGUAAUUUUCGCAGAAAUAAAUUAUAUUCAUGUAUUAUUUUUAGUUUUGUAUGAUUCAAAGUUGAAGAAGAACUUUGAAUAAUAAACUAAUCUAACCACACCAAAAAUUCCAUCAAAUUACAGCAGCACAUAUAAAUCUGGAAGACAAACCUGCGAUUGGUUUAUAUAUAUCAGCUUGAAAGGCAUAAUAUUUGGUUCUGUCAGUUCUCGGAUCAUCAGUGACGAAGUACUGCUCGGCUUUUGAAGUCCUUGGAGCUUGAGCUAUCGAGUAAUUGUUGUCGGAGUUUUAGAGGAAUCACUGUACAUAUGAAACUUCAUCUUGAAUCGAAAGAGGAGAAUUGUGGGAUUGUUUUGAUCGAUUGAAAGGGAUCAGAUCGAAUUUUGAUUAAUCCACCGAAACAUUAAAAAAUAUUGAAAGCGUUUAGAUACGAUGUAGCCUUAUUUGGUGCAGAAUCAUUUUAUGUUUUGGGUUGUUACUCACCUGCCCCAAUUGUUUUUUUUUUUUUUUUUCCGUCGAAAAGUUUUUAAUAUUAAAAACAGGCCAAGCCCAAUACAAAUAACAAACAUACAAAUUGCAAACUCG